AUUGAACGCUGGCGGCAUGCCUUACACAUGCAAGUCGAACGGUAACGGGCCUUCGGGUGCCGACGAGUGGCGAACGGGUGAGUAAUGCAUCGGAACGUACCUUUCAGUGGGGGAUAACGUAGCGAAAGUUACGCUAAUACCGCAUAUUCUGUGAGCAGGAAAGCAGGGGAUCGCAAGACCUUGCGCUGAUUGAGCGGCCGAUGUCAGAUUAGCUAGUUGGUGAGGUAAAGGCUCACCAAGGCGACGAUCUGUAGCGGGUCUGAGAGGAUGAUCCGCCACACUGGAACUGAGACACGGUCCAGACUCCUACGGGAGGCAGCAGUGGGGAUUUGGACAAUGGGGCAACCCUGAUCCAGCCAUGCCGCGUGAGUGAAGAAGGCC
This 381-nucleotide ribosomal RNA is filed under the name uncultured bacterium. Its description in RNAcentral is "bacterial SSU rRNA". It matches the Rfam family "Bacterial small subunit ribosomal RNA", at positions 30 to 416 of the family's 1533-position model. The record is from RNAcentral.